UUCAGAGGCGGCAAGCGUUGUUCGGAAUCACUGGGCAUAAAGGGCGCGUAGGUGGUCAAGUAGGUCAAGGGUGAAAGCCCCCGGCUCAACCGGGGUCCCGCCUUUGAAACCACUUGGCUGGAGCGGAACAGGGGAGAGUGGAACUCGUGGUGGAGCGGUGAAAUGCGUAGAUAUCACGAGGAACGCCGGCGGUGAAGACGACUCUCUGGGUUCUGGCUGACACUGAGGCGCGAAAGCUGGGGGAG
Molecule: ribosomal RNA, 245 nt
Filed under: uncultured bacterium
Lineage: Bacteria
Description: partial 16S ribosomal RNA
Rfam family: Bacterial small subunit ribosomal RNA
Source: RNAcentral